UUUUCUUUCAAGGACGAGUAACACACAAACUCCACAGUAAUACUUAGGGAAAUCACUUUGCAAACAUGUUGUUGUUAUACGUGACUGUUUCCUGCGUAUUGUUUGGUGGUUCAUCUGCUGAUGUGAUUGAAGAGGUGUGCUAUGGCAUGCAUUUGAGAUUACCUAUUUUUGUAACACCACCUUUAUUCAGUGGACAGAUGUACUUCACUCCGAGUAAUGGGGAACCCAGGAAGCUAGUGAUGGAUAAUGGGAAGGCAAAGGACCCGCGCCUCAAAGUUUACGAUGGCAGUAGUUCAUUACACAGAUUUGACAGAAAGAGAUGCAGGAACCUUUUCUGUCUCAAAUGACAAUAGUAGACGACGCAAUAUUGUGAAACUGAACAUUUUGGAGUGUGCUGAGAAGAAUGCAAAGUAUUACGGGGAUAAAUACUCCACUCGUAUAAAUCAGGCUGAAUACCUGGAGUUCACUCCCCUUCACAGUGUGGACCUGCCAAAGGUUGUGUGGAAUCUUACUGACCCUCAGACCAAUGAGAAAGGCAGAUGGCAGGUGAAGUUUCAUAUCUGGGAGCUGAAGAACCUCAAUCAGGCAGACGCGGGCUACUACAACUUCAGAGCAAAAGACAAGACUUUGCUGAAGAGGAUAUUGCUCGAAGUAAAAGUGCACCAUAUAAACUAUGAUGCAAUGGAGAACACGUGGCUCCUCAUCGAUAAUCCUUCAUCUGAUAUCCUGUGGACUGUGACUUUUACACCUGACGGGAAAGUACAAAAGAAAACAUUGAUAGAAAAAGGCCAUCUGAUCACACAAGAUGAAUGGAUCUCAGAGCCUUGGACUUUACCAGAGAGGAUUCAGGUCUUGAGGAAUGGCAUAACGAUUCAUUCUUUGGAGGUCACAGACUCUGGCACCUUUGAGUUCAUAGACCUGCAAGGUCAUCUUACUAAGACUGCGAUGUUGCUGGUAAAGCAUGAACCAGACAGUACUAUUGCAAUUGUUGGGAUUGCUGUCGGGAUUUUCUUUGGGGUAAUAAUCUGCUGCUGCUGUGUGAAAAGGUGCUGUUGUAAAAAGAGCUCUUCUAAAAGGGAGGAUUCUGCUCCUCAGACUGCAACCACACCUGCUGUGUAUUACCAUGAUGUGAAUCAACCUGCAGGUCCACAUUUCACUGCUGCACCUGCUCCAAAUUACUCCUAUCAGCCAAUGAAUUCCCUUGUUUCUAGAGAAGCUACAACUAUCUCACCUGAUCCACCGGUGUACAACCCGGUGAAUAUCCAUGUGAACCCCCUUCAACUUCAGGUUGAACCGUUAGGAGGGUUAGGAAUUGAUCCAGCUCCUACACUCGGCUCUGAUUGUCUCUCCUCAGACCGUAUGCCAACGUUUGAGUUUGAGACUUCCACUCUCCCCCUCAGUGCAGAAACAACAUUCAGUCAUGUGUAUACCUCUGAUAAACUCAACUUUCUGUAAGGAGCGCACCAAAAACUUAAGGGAUAAGUAGUUUGAUUCGGCAUUGUGCUUUAUGACUAGUGGGAACACAGCCAUUUCAGUCCUUGAUUGGAUUGUGUGAUAUACGCACAUAAGAAAAUUGAGUCCCUGCAAACCUGCAAAAUAGUUGUGACAGGUGCACAGGAUAAGGACCAUGUUGAGAAACAAGACUUCAUUCACACUAUGUUGACCUAUGACUUAUCGUAGGUUAAAAUAUGGCAUAUUCUCUUUCUUUCAAUUUAAACACCAACAAAUAUGCGCUGUGAUCAAAGAAGUUUGAGGCCAGUACAACAGUAACAGUAAGUGAACUGCCAUAAUCAGGAUAUCUGUGUUAUAUGGAAUAUAAAUGUGUGUGCCAUAAACUCAGGUUAUAUAUAAAAUGCAUAAUGUACACUUUGCCUUUACCCUACUGCCAUACAUAUCAAAGGGUAUGGAGAGAUGACUUUCCAUUGAGGACUUAACGUAACUGACUACCACUCAUGGAGAUGAAAACUCUACUCUAUUCAUACAACUGCUGAACAGCGGGUUCAGAAAGUAUUCAGACCCCUUUCAUUUUUACACAUUUUGGUAUGUUACAGCAUUAUGCUAAAAUUGUUUUAAUAAAUGUUUUCCCUCAUCAAUCUACACUCUAUACCCCAUAAUGACAAAGCGAGAAAUCUUUGCAAAUGUAUUAAGAAUUGACAAAAGUAUUCAGACCCUUUACUCAGUACUUAGUUGAAGCACCUUUUGCAGCAAUAACAGCCUCAAGUCUUCUUGGGUACGAUGCAACAAGCUUUGCACAUCUGGAUUUGGGGAUUUUCUUCCAUUCUUCUCUGCAGAUCCUCUCAAGCUCUGUCAGGUUGGAUGGGGACCGCUGAUGGACGGCCAUUUUCAGGUCUCUCCAGAGAUGUUCAAUUGGGUUCAAGUCCGGGCUCCGGCUGGGCCACUCAAGGACAUUCACAGAGUUCUCCCUAAGCCACUCCUGCGUUGUUUUGGCUGUGUGCUUAGGAUCGUUGUCCUGUUGGAAGGUGAAGGUGGUUUGGUUUUUGCUCAAAAAUACAUUGUGAAUUGUUGGACCUUAUAUAGACAAGUGUGCGUCUUUCCAAAUCAUGUCCAAUCAAUUUCAUUUACCACAGGUGGGCUGUAGGAACAUCUCAGCUAUGAUCAUUUGAAAUGUGAUGCUCCAGAGCUUAAUUUCAAGUGUCACUGCAAAGGGUCAAUGUGACAUUUCAGUUUCUUAUUUUUAAUACAUUUGCAAAAAUUUCUAAAAUUCUGUUAUCACUUUGUCAUUAUGGGGUAUCGAAUCUAGAUUGAUUAGGGAAAAAAAGAAAUGAAACAAUUUUAGCAUAACGCUGUAACAUACCAAAAUGUGAAAAGAUUGAAGGGGUCUGAAUACUUUCUGAACCCGCUGUAUAUACUGUAUAAAAAAAUAAAUAUAUAUAAAUAUAUAUAUAUAUAUAUAUAUAUAUACAUGCACCGACAGCACUCGCACGGAGCUCUCACAGCAAAUAUUGAUAUAUAUGCGAUAUAUAUAAUUUAUAUCAUAAUAUACAGUAUAAUAUAUGAUGUGUAUAUAUAUAUAUAUCAUAUAUAUCAUAUUUUAUAUAUAUACUGUAUGAUAAAUAUAUACUGUAUGAUAUAUAUAUAUAUAAUAUAUAUCAUAUUUUAUGUGUAUCAUAUUUUAUAUAUAUACUGUAUGAUAUAUAUAUAUAUAUAAUAUAUAUGAUAUAUAUAUAUUAUAUAUAUAUAUAUGAUAUAUAUUAUAUAUAUAUAUAUCAUAUAUAUAUAUUUAUUAUAUUACGUGUCUUUUAUCAUUACAUUUUGAGAAAUGAUGUGAUAUCUUUUUUUGUAAAAAUGUAAGUCCUACUGGAAACUGUUGCGCUGUAUCUCAGUGUGUAUUUGUACAUUUUGUGUAAGCUGGAGCUUUUUUCCAUUAGCUCUUUUUGUGGCUUUGAGAAACUGCCCCAAUCAUUAGGCCUUAAAAUCAAUCUAAAGUAGUCAUUUGAUUCAAAUAUUUGUCUGCAUUAUAUGUAAAGAUAUGUAACUAUACUUUGACUUGCAUGGUUUUUGAAAGCUAAAUAAAUUGCCUCACUGGACUGUACUAAAUCCCAGAGGAAAGCUACAAUUACCUGCAUUUACCAAGUAAUGUAAAGUGUUAUCAAAUUUAAUCUGAACUACAACAUUUCCUAAUUAUGACAAUAGAAACAUAUAAGUAAAAGUAUUGACACCACAAUACAGUAAUGAGCAGUACAGUAAAAACAUUUAAAGGAAAAAAUGUAAAUAAUACAAACUCAAAAUUUUAUAUUUUGGAAGUUUCCACAGUAAAAAUGUACAUAUCAAAAAUAAUUGUAAGAAUGAGAACCUUUCAAAGUGUUACAUUAUUUUUGCAUACAUAAGAUCACAGAUGCAACUUAUUCAUGGUUGAAACAUGAAUUGCCUUGUUGCUGGUUCACAAUCAACGUAUUUUCUAAGAUAUAGGGUCCCAUGUGUUUACUUCUUAAGUUAGAACAAGUUUUGUAGUUUUCCACAAAAGAUUUCUGUGUUUUUGCUUUUGUUGUGGUCUCGUGCCUUUUUGUUUUGAUAUUUAAGUGGCACUGUUGUGAAUACAUCAAGUCACUCUUUUUUUUGCAUAUGUUAUAAGGAAGUUCCCACUGUUAUUGUGAAUGUUAUCAAACCACACUCAGGGACUCUUGAUGUAGCAGACUAGCUGAGUUUCUUGGUGUUAAACUAUUAAAGAAGUACUCCAGCAAUUAAUUGUCGCACUUUCAUACAAUUGGGGAAUAUUCGAGACAUAGAUAAAAAAAACUGUCAAAACUAAAAUAUCAUGAAUUUUAAUCCCUAAUAUGUGUCAAGCUUCAAAAAUACUGGAGCCUACAUUUUUCCUUUAUUAAAAAAAGAUCUUCCCAGCCUGGUUAAUAUUUCAAACUCUAUGACCUC
Molecule: long non-coding RNA, 4389 nt
Organism: Cottoperca gobio
Lineage: Eukaryota; Metazoa; Chordata; Actinopteri; Perciformes; Bovichtidae
Source: Ensembl